This 328-nucleotide ribosomal RNA is filed under the name uncultured eukaryote. RNAcentral's name for it is "partial 18S ribosomal RNA". It matches the Rfam family "Eukaryotic small subunit ribosomal RNA", at positions 1470 to 1796 of the family's 1831-position model. The record is from RNAcentral.
CCCUUAGAUGUUCUGGGCCGCACGCGCGCUACACUGAUGAAUUCAACGAGUUUAUAACCUUGGUUGAGAAGCCUGGGUAAUCUUUUGAACGUUCAUCGUGAUGGGGAUAGAUUAUUGCAAUUAUUAAUCUUCAACGAGGAAUGCCUAGUAGGCGCAAGUCAUCAGCUUGCGUCGAUUACGUCCCUGCCCUUUGUACACACCGCCCGUCGCUCCUACCGAUUGGGUGUGCUGGUGAAAUGUUCGGAUCGGCCGUUUGUCGCGGUUUCCGCGUCAUGUGGCUGAGAAGUUCAUUAAACCCUCCCACCUAGAGGAAGGAGAAGUCGUAACA